GCCAAUACUGAAGAUUUCUCAGAAAAGGCCAGAAAUCUCAAUGUUAGUGUAAAAUCUCUCAAAUUUCCAAGAGGAUUGUGUGGGGCAAAGGUUCUCAGAUCAGCUUGCAGUCUCUUAGCCCAUGUGCAGAGCAGUCAUAGAGGCUAGUGUGCAGUGCCCUACAUGAUAAUUCUUUUUUAUUUUAUUUUAUGCCUUCCUCCUUCCUGUCUCUCUUUAACCUUUCUUCUUCCCUCAGCCUCCUCCGACCAAAGCCUGGGCUCAAUGAACAUUCAGUAAAGGAACACGGAAUGUCAACUGCAGUUGCACUAGAGACAACCUUGAGACACAUUCCUCUUGUGAAGUCAGCUGUGUUUUCUGCUGAGUCUCCAUAGGAACGUCAGUCCUGAAUCCUCAGACCACCACCUGGAGUAGUAAGUGCUCCUGACCAUCCUAGAAGGCGUCUACUGCUGGAUCUCCAAAGCAUGUGACACACCGUAAGAGAGAAAUGAGAAUGCUGAGCUCUUCAGGUAAAGCCUGCUUUUUCACAAGCCCCCUAAUUUUACAACAUAA
RNAcentral lists this long non-coding RNA (549 nucleotides) under Macaca fascicularis (crab-eating macaque). RNAcentral describes it as "lncRNA (ENSMFAG00000046994.2)". Lineage: Eukaryota; Metazoa; Chordata; Mammalia; Primates; Cercopithecidae. The record is from RNAcentral.